This 253-nucleotide ribosomal RNA is filed under the name uncultured bacterium. RNAcentral's name for it is "partial 16S ribosomal RNA". It matches the Rfam family "Bacterial small subunit ribosomal RNA", at positions 524 to 776 of the family's 1533-position model. The record is from RNAcentral.
UACGAAAGGUGCAAGCGUUACUCGGAAUCACUGGGCGUAAAGCGCACGUAGGCGGACUCGUAGGUCAAUUGUGAAAUACCUGGGCUCAACCUGGGAACUGCAGUUGAAACCACUUGUCUUGAAUACCUGAGAGGAUGGUGGAAUUCUCGGUGUAGAGGUGAAAUUCGUAGAUAUCGAGAGGAACACCGGUGGGGAAGGCGGCCAUCUGGACGGUGACUGACGCUGAGACGCGAAAGCGUGGGGAGCAAACAGG